CUUUUAUGGAGAGUUUGAUCCUGGCUCAGGACGAACGCUGGCGGCGUGCCUAAUACAUGCAAGUCGAGCGAACUUGUGGGAGCUUGCUCCCAAAAGUU
Molecule: ribosomal RNA, 98 nt
Filed under: Lysinibacillus composti
Lineage: Bacteria; Bacillati; Bacillota; Bacilli; Caryophanales; Bacillaceae
Description: partial 16S ribosomal RNA
Rfam family: Bacterial small subunit ribosomal RNA
Source: RNAcentral